UACGUAGGUGGCAAGCGUUGUCCGGAUUUACUGGGCGUAAAGAGCGCGCAGGCGGUCGUUCAAGUCGCGUGUGAAAGCCCCCGGCUCAACUGGGGAGGGUCACGCGAUACUGAUCGACUGGAAGGCAGGAGAGGGUAGUGGAAUUCCCGGUGUAGUGGUGAAAUGCGUAGAUAUCGGGAGGAACACCAGUGGCGAAGGCGACUUCCUGGCCUGCUCUUGACGCUGAGGCGCGAAAGCUAGGGGAGCAAACGGG
Molecule: ribosomal RNA, 253 nt
Filed under: uncultured bacterium
Lineage: Bacteria
Description: partial 16S ribosomal RNA
Rfam family: Bacterial small subunit ribosomal RNA
Source: RNAcentral